RNAcentral lists this ribosomal RNA (465 nucleotides) under Brevibacterium sp. RNAcentral's name for it is "bacterial SSU rRNA". The record is from RNAcentral. Lineage: Bacteria; Bacillati; Actinomycetota; Actinomycetes; Micrococcales; Brevibacteriaceae.
GGACGAACGCUGGYGGCGUGCUUAACACAUGCAAGUCGAACGAUGAAGCUCUAGCUUGCUGGGGUGGAUUAGUGGCGAACGGGUGAGUAACACGUGAGUAACCUGCCCUUUACUUCGGGAUAAGCUUGGGAAACUGGGUCUAAUACCGGAUAUUCUGCAUGGUCGGAUGGUUGUGUAGGAAAGAUUUUUUGGUAAGGGAUGGGCUCGCGGCCUAUCAGUUUGUUGGUGGGGUGAUGGCCUACCAAGACGACGACGGGUAGCCGGCCUGAGAGGGCGACCGGCCACACUGGGACUGAGACACGGCCCAGACUCCUACGGGAGGCAGCAGUGGGGAAUAUUGCACAAUGGGGGAAACCCUGAUGCAGCGACGCCGCGUGGGGGAUGACGGCCUUCGGGUUGUAAACCUCUUUCAGUAGGGAAGAAGCGGAAGUGACGGUACCUGCAGAAGAAGUACCGGCUAACUAC